Non-coding RNA from Pelobates cultripes (western spadefoot toad), 337 nucleotides. Lineage: Eukaryota; Metazoa; Chordata; Amphibia; Anura; Pelobatidae. The record is from the annotation of a GenBank genome assembly.
GGCAUACUGUGCAAAAAAACUCUACUAAUAUUUAUUUGUUUAGUUAUGUUAAUGGACUGUAACUGCUGAAACGUAAAAAACGAUUGCCUUUGCAAUCAACAUGAUUUUAUUGAUUGUUCCAAUAUCACUGCACAUUAACAAAUCAAGAGAUGGAUUGUAUAGAUACCAUUUGUUGUGUAAUGAAUUAAUAUGUAUCAGAUAAAAUAUUGCUCAGAUAAAAGGACAAGCGUAGAGGCAUAAGAGUAUAAAACAUAAAAAGGAAUAAUUUGCAGUCAGUCCAUCACUAGAAGUCUUUUUUGAAAAGUUGUUCCAAAGUCUGUUUAGAUUUCUGAUAACC